Molecule: ribosomal RNA, 450 nt
Filed under: Burkholderiaceae bacterium FMAC6j
Lineage: Bacteria; Pseudomonadati; Pseudomonadota; Betaproteobacteria; Burkholderiales; Burkholderiaceae
Description: bacterial SSU rRNA
Rfam family: Bacterial small subunit ribosomal RNA
Source: RNAcentral
CUGGUGGCGAGUGGCGAACGGGUGAGUAAUACAUCGGAACGUGUCCUGUAGUGGGGGAUAGCCCGGCGAAAGCCGGAUUAAUACCGCAUACGAUCUACGGAAGAAAGCGGGGGAUCCUUCGGGACCUCGCGCUAGAGGGGCGGCCGAUGGCAGAUUAGCUAGUUGGUGGGGUAAAGGCCUACCAAGGCGACGAUCUGUAGCUGGUCUGAGAGGACGACCAGCCACACUGGGACUGAGACACGGCCCAGACUCCUACGGGAGGCAGCAGUGGGGAAUUUUGGACAAUGGGGGCAACCCUGAUCCAGCAAUGCCGCGUGUGUGAAGAAGGCCUUCGGGUUGUAAAGCACUUUUGUCCGGAAAGAAAACCUCUUGGUUAAUACCUGAGGGGGAUGACGGUACCGGAAGAAUAAGCACCGGCUAACUACGUGCCAGCAGCCGCGGUAAUACGUA